CUGGGGAAACCCAGGCUAAUACCGCAUACGUCCUACGGGAGAAAGGGGGCUCCGGCUCCCGCUAUGGGAUGAGCCUAUGUCGGAUUAGCUAGUUGGUGAGGUAACGGCUCACCAAGGCCGCGAUCCGUAGCUGGUCUGAGAGGAUGAUCAGCCACAUCGGGACUGAGACACGGCCCGAACUCCUACGGGAGGCAGCAGUGGGGAAUAUUGGACAAUGGGGGCAACCCUGAUCCAGCCAUGCCGCGUGUGUGAAGAAGGCCCUCGGGUUGUAAAGCACUUUCAGUGAGGAAGAACGCCUAGCGGUUAAUACCCGCUAGGAAGGACAUCACUCGCAGAAGAAGCACCGGCUAACUCCGUGCCAGCAGCCGCGGUAAUACGGAGGGUGCAAGCGUUAAUCGGAAUUACUGGGCGUAAAGCGCGCGUAGGUGGCUUGAUAAGCCGGUUGUGAAAGCCCCGGGCUCAACCUGGGAACGGCAUCCGGAACUGUCAAGCUAGAGUGCAGGAGAGGAAGGUAGAAUUCCCGGUGUAGCAGUGAAAUGCGUAGAGAUCGGGAGGAAUACCAGUGGCGAAGGCGGCCUUCUGGACUGACACUGACACUGAGGUGCGAAAGCGUGGGUAGCAAACAGGAUUAGAUACCCUGGUAGUCCACGCCGUAAACGAUGUCGACCAGCCGUUGGGUGCCUAGCGCACUUUGUGGCGAAGUUAACGCGAUAAGUCGACCGCCUGGGGAGUACGGCCGCAAGGUUAAAACUCAAAUGAAUUGACGGGGGCCCGCACAAGCGGUGGAGCAUGUGGUUUAAUUCGAUGCAACGCGAAGAACCUUACCUACUCUUGACAUCCUGCGAAUUUGGUAGAGAUACCUUAGUGCCUUCGGGAACGCAGAGACAGGUGCUGCAUGGCUGUCGUCAGCUCGUGUUGUGAAGUGUUGGGUUAAGUCCCGUAACGAGCGCAACCCUUGUCCUUAUUUGCCAGCGCGUAAUGGCGGGAACUCUAAGGAGACUGCCGGUGACAAACCGGAGGAAGGUGGGGACGACGUCAAGUCAUCAUGGCCCUUACGAGUAGGGCUACACACGUGCUACAAUGGUCGGUACAAAGGGUUGCCAACUCGCGAGAGUGAGCUAAUCCCGAAAAGCCGAUCUCAGUCCGGAUCGGAGUCUGCAACUCGACUCCGUGAAGUCGGAAUCGCUAGUAAUCGUGGAUCAGWAUGCCACGGUGAAUACGUUCCCGKG
RNAcentral lists this ribosomal RNA (1229 nucleotides) under uncultured Halomonas sp. RNAcentral's name for it is "bacterial SSU rRNA". It matches the Rfam family "Bacterial small subunit ribosomal RNA", at positions 148 to 1378 of the family's 1533-position model. Lineage: Bacteria; Pseudomonadati; Pseudomonadota; Gammaproteobacteria; Oceanospirillales; Halomonadaceae. The record is from RNAcentral.